CACGUAGGGCGCAAGCGUUGUCCGGAAUUAUUGGGCGUAAAGAGCUCGUAGGCGGUCUGUUGCGUCCGCUGUGAAAACUCGGGGCUUAACCCCGAGCCUGCAGUGGAUACGGGCAGACUAGAGGUAGGUAGGGGAGAAUGGAAUUCCCGGUGUAGCGGUGAAAUGCGCAGAUAUCGGGAGGAACACCAAUGGCGAAGGCAGAUCUCUGGGCCGUAACUGACGCUGAGGAGCGAAAGCGUGGGGAGCGAACAGGA
This 254-nucleotide ribosomal RNA is filed under the name uncultured bacterium. RNAcentral describes it as "partial 16S ribosomal RNA". It matches the Rfam family "Bacterial small subunit ribosomal RNA", at positions 524 to 777 of the family's 1533-position model. The record is from RNAcentral.